Molecule: ribosomal RNA, 649 nt
Filed under: uncultured bacterium
Lineage: Bacteria
Description: bacterial SSU rRNA
Rfam family: Bacterial small subunit ribosomal RNA
Source: RNAcentral
AGAGUUUGAUCAUGGCUCAGGACGAACGCUGGCGGCGUGCUUAACACAUGCAAGUCGAGCGGAAAGGCCAUUUCGGUGGUACUCGAGCGGCGAACGGGUGAGUAACACGUGAGUAAUCUGCCCCUGGCUUUGGGAUAGCCACCGGAAACGGUGAUUAAUACCGGAUAUGACCACUCCUGGCAUCAGGUGGUGGUGGAAAGUUUUUCGGCCAGGGAUGUGCUCGCGGCCUAUCAGCUUGAUGGUGAGGUAAUGGCUCACCAUGGCUUCGACGGGUAGCCGGCCUGAGAGGGUGACCGGUCACACUGGGACUGAGACACGGCCCAGACUCCUACGGGAGGCAGCAGUGGGGAAUAUUGGACAAUGGGCGGAAGCCUGAUCCAGCAACGCCGCGUGAGGGAUGACGGCCUUCGGGUUGUAAACCUCUUUCAGUACCGACGAAGCGAUCCUUUUGGGGAGUGACGGUAGGUACAGAAGAAGCACCGGCCAACUACGUGCCAGCAGCCGCGGUAAUACGUAGGGUGCGAGCGUUGUCCGGAAUUAUUGGGCGUAAAGGGCUCGUAGGCGGUUUGUCGCGUCGGGAGUGAAAACGCCGUGCUUAACACGGCGCUUGCUCUCGAUACGGGCAGACUAGAGGUAUUCAGGGGAGAAC